Coregonus clupeaformis (lake whitefish) is the source of this 435-nucleotide long non-coding RNA. RefSeq lists it as uncharacterized. The record is from RefSeq and is a predicted model, not a curated record. The transcript is spliced from 3 exons. Lineage: Eukaryota; Metazoa; Chordata; Actinopteri; Salmoniformes; Salmonidae.
UGUUCGAGGGAGAGAGGGAAGAGACGCUGUUGAUUUUGAACCUGCGCCGCCAGAACACGGAUUAAUACAACUAGCUGAGGAUCUACCUACCCGAACAAGGUGCUCCAUAUUGAAAAGGCACCUGUCAUUCUUUGACCAUGUCUAAGGACCAGUGUGAAUCCGUAGCGGUGAGCGUCGAGUCCCUUUUAACCGACUCAGUUAAGAUGCAGUCCCAGUGUCGGGAGCGUAGUGAGCAGCUAGCUAUGGCCGCCGCCGCACUGAGGGAGGAGUCGGCGUGCUUGAGAGAACAGUGUCAAGCCACCCAGCUGGAUAUGGCCCGGAUGAGAAGACAGCUAGAAGAACUGCUGGAUACCAAGGCUCAGAUGGAGGCCAGUGAUAGAAUGCACCGCAAACUCAGCAAGACACUCUAAAGGGAGAUGAGGGGAGAGAAGGAGA